Molecule: long non-coding RNA, 2533 nt
Organism: Marmota monax (woodchuck)
Lineage: Eukaryota; Metazoa; Chordata; Mammalia; Rodentia; Sciuridae
Exons: 3
Source: RefSeq, a predicted model, not a curated record
GAGAGAGAGAGAGAGAGAGAGAGAGAGAAUUUUUAAUAUUUAUUUUUCAGUUUUCGGCGGACACAACAUCUUUGUUUGUAUGUGGUGCUGAGGAUCGAACCCGGACCGCACGCAUGCCAGGCGAGCGCGCCACCGCUGGAGCCACAUCCCCAGCCCUAAAUGCCACCUUUAGAUUCGGUACUGACUUUAAGACCUGAUGAAAAAAUCAGACCUCUACCAACCCGGGAUGCUCAGAACGAGGCCCGAAGAAGCCGCGCUGGCGCAGUCACGCGCGUCAGCCUGCGCACAGCCCAGCGCCCUCCAGCACAGAACGUGGGCGCAAUACGGUUUGCACGGACGGACCCAUUCCCGAAAAGAUCCCUGGACGCCAAAGGCACGCGGGAAAGACCUGACUCCCCUGUCACCGGGCUCGAUGCAGACGGCGUCCCGCCGACCUAGCGGAGAGCCCCCAGCGCCGACCCCCGGACAAGCAGACGUUCUCGGGGGAGCGCCUCCCUCGGCCGCAGGCUCGCUCCCCAGCUGCACUCUGAUUGGAUCAACUCCGAUCAUUUGCCUAGCGCCGAACCAAUCACAGGUCAGGGGCCUGUGGGCUGUGAUAGGCCAGACCUGGGUCACAUGACCACCUGCGACCGGAAGUGCCUGAGGCCCCGGGAGUGAAAGUAGUGGCGGGGACCAGGUGGGUCCUACGUGGAAGAGCAGCUCCUUAACACGUGGUGGCGGCAGAAGUCACACCGUGCCACCUCCACCCCAUGGAAACCAGCUCUUUUGAACCCAGCUCAUCUCGUCAGCAUGGGUACCUGGCAAAACUGACAUCUUUUGUAAAAGGUCUUUGCAGGAGAUCAAGGCACCCAGCUUGUGGUAUUUUCUUACAGCAGCCCUAGGAAGCCAUGUCUACCCUGUCGUUACCUUAUAAAUAGAAUAGUAACGUUACAUUCAUUGGCUGUUGGCAAGUCUCAUAAGCGUUCAUUUGUUAAAAGCAAGCAUUUAAAAUGUACCUAAAGCCAGACACACUGGCACACGCCUGUAAUCCCAGCAUUUUGGGAGGCUGAGGUGGGAGGAUUGCAGAUUCAAGGUCAACCUGGGCAAUUUAAUAAAUUGACAGUGUCUCAAAAUCUUAAAAGGGCUGGUAUGUAGCUCAAUGGUAAAGCACCCCUGGGUUCAAUCCCCAAUACUAAAAAAUAAAAACUAAAUGUACCACAAGCCAGGCACUAUGGUGCAUAGCCUGUAAUCCAGUUGCUUGGGAGUCUGAGGCAGGAGGAUCAUACGUUUGAGGCCAGCCUGGGUAACUUAGCAAGACCCUAUCUCUAAAUUUAAAAUUAAAAGGGCUAGCAAUAUAGCUCAGUGGUAAAGCACCCUGCGCUCAGGUCCCAGUACCACUAGAUAGGUAGAGUUUUUUUGAAACUGAAAAAGUACAUAUACCUACUUUUUUUUUUUUUCAUUACUGGAAACUGAACCCAGGAGUGCUCUGCCACUAAGCUACAUCCCCAGCCCUUUUCAUUGUUUGAGACAGGUUGCUAAGGUGGACCUCAGACCGGCCAUCCUCCUGCCUCAGGCUCCUGAGUCCUUAGUGUUUUCUACUGCUUCCCUGGACCAGGUUCUCCUAAGGUGGCUUGGGACACAGAAUGAAGGUUUCUUUUGUAGAAACUGACUGUGCUGUAGUGGCCUGCCAAUGCCCCGUGGCUGAAGUUCCUCUUGCUAAACAGCAGUGGGCACUCCCAGUUUGGGAGAUUGUGGGUCUGUUCCGGCUGAGAUGGCCUUUACUGUAGACAGGGUGGUGUAUGGACAGCAGAGACAGCUCUCUCAGCUCUAGAAGCAGGGAGUCCAGGAGCAAGGUGCCCGGAUCUGGCGUCAGGGACAAGCUGCCACCUGGUUCACAGGCGGCGCUUCUCUGAGCCCUCACAUGGUGGAAGGGAGAGAACUCUCUGGGGACUCCUGAAGGACCUGGUCCCAGACAUGAGGCUCCACCCAUGACCUAGUGGCCUCUGGAAGCCAGCCUCCUGGUGCAUCACCUCGGGGUGAGACUUCAGGGUAGGACCUGGGACACCCACACAGACCACAGCAGGGGCUCACAGAAAGUGAGCAGCUCCUGACCUCUGAGCUCAGCCCUCCCAGCUGCUGGAUGUUCGCCAUCCCGGAUUAUCAGGAAAAAAGGAAAAUGGAAGCCAAGGCACAGGUGCAUUCCUGCACCCCAGCCGCUUCCUGGAGUCCUCCCCCUCCCCCUGGCUCCUUCCCUAGGGAGGGCCGCUGGUCACCCGACUCGCACACCACCUUCUUUCUCCGACACUCUGUGUCCCUUCCACUGCUGUUUCCUCCGUCUGAGCAGUCACCACUGGCUCUCCUGCAGUCGUCCCUCAGUGCCCAUGGGAUGGGCUCCAGGACCCCCACAGGCAGUGAAGCUGCAGGUGUGUGGCACUUCCCCAUCACUUGUAAUGCUUACACGAUGCACAUGCAAUGCAAGUAGUGUAUUGUUUGGAGAAGAAAGACAGAAAAAAGCUGAACAUGUUCAAUAAAGAUGCACUGUAUUUCCCUGAUA